UUGACGGGGCCGCACAAGCGGUGGAGCAUGUGGUUAAUUCGAAGCAACACGAAGAACCUUACCAGGUCUUGACAUCCCCUGACAACCCGAGAGAUCGGGCGUUCCCCCUUCGGGGGGACAGGGUGACAGGUGGUGCAUGGUUGUCGUCAGCUCGUGUCGUGAGAUGUUGGGUUAAGUCCCGCAACGAGCGCAACCCUCGACCUUAGUUGCCAGCAUUCAGUUGGGCACUCUAAGGUGACUGCCGGCUAAAAGUCGGAGGAAGGUGGGGAUGACGUCAAAUCAUCAUGCCCCUUAUGACCUGGGCUACACACGUGCUACAAUGGGCGGUACAAAGGGUCGCGAACCCGCGAGGGGGAGCCAAUCCCAAAAAGCCGCUCUCAGUUCGGAUUGCAGGCUGCAACUCGCCUGCAUGAAGCCGGAAUCGCUAGUAAUCGCGGAUCAGCAUGCCGCGGUGAAUACGUUCCCGGGCCUU
Molecule: ribosomal RNA, 472 nt
Filed under: uncultured Anoxybacillus sp.
Lineage: Bacteria; Bacillati; Bacillota; Bacilli; Caryophanales; Anoxybacillaceae
Description: bacterial SSU rRNA
Rfam family: Bacterial small subunit ribosomal RNA
Source: RNAcentral